CUUCCCGUAGGGGGACCUGCGGAAGGAUCAUUACAGAGACAUUGCCCCUUGGGGUAGAUCUCCCACCCUUUGUUUACCUUACCUUUGUUGCUUUGGCAGGCCCGUCUUUGGACCACCGGCUUAGGCUGGUCUGCGCCUGCCAGAGAACCCCAAAUUCUUGACUUUUUGUGUUGUCUGAGUAAUAUUAUAAUAAGUUAAAACUUUCAACAACGGAUCUCUUGGUUCUGGCAUCGAUGAAGAACGCAGCGAAAUGCGAUAAGUAAUGUGAAUUGCAGAAUUCAGUGAAUCAUCGAAUCUUUGAACGCACAUUGCACCCUCUGGUAUUCCAGGGGGUAUGCCUGUUCGAGCGUCAUUUCAACCCUCAAGCUUAGCUUGGUAUUGGGUGUCACCUGGUAAUGGGGUGCAUCUUAAAAUCAGUGGCGGUGCCAUCUGGCUCCAAGCGUAGUAAUUCUCUCGCUUUGGAGAUUUAGAUUUGUGGUUGCCAUCAACCCCUAAUUUCUUAAAGGUUGACCUCGGAUCAGGUAGGGAUACCCGCUGAACUUAAGCAUAUCAAUAGGCGGGAGGAAGGAUCAUUACAGAGACAUUGCCCCUUGGGGUAGAUCUCCACCCUUUGUUUACCUUACCUUUGUUGCUUUGGCAGGCCGUCUUUGGACCACCGGCUUAGGCUGGUCUGCGCCUGCCAGAGAACCCAAAUUCUUGACUUUUUGUGUUGUCUGAGUAAUAUUAUAAUAAGUUAAAACUUUCACAACGGAUCUCUUGGUUCUGGCAUGAUGAAGAAAGCAGCGAAAUGCGAUAAGUAAUGUGAAUUGCAGAAAUCGUGAAUCAUCAAA
This 830-nucleotide ribosomal RNA is filed under the name fungal sp. shylm74. RNAcentral's name for it is "eukaryotic LSU rRNA". The stretch from base 199 to 352 matches the Rfam family "5.8S ribosomal RNA". Lineage: Eukaryota; Fungi. The record is from RNAcentral.